CCUACGGGUGGCUGCAGUGGGGAAUAUUGCGCAAUGGGGGGAACCCUGACGCAGCAACGCCGCGUGAAGGAAGAAGGCCUUCGGGUUGUAAACUUCUUUGAUGAGGGACGAAACAAAUGACGGUACCUCAGGAACAAGCCACGGCUAACUACGUGCCAGCAGCCGCGGUAAUACGUAGGUGGCGAGCGUUGUCCGGAAUUACUGGGUGUAAAGGGCGUGUAGGCGGGGAUGUAAGUCAGAUGUGAAAUACCGAGGCUUAACUUCGGGGGUGCAUCUGAAACUAUGUUUCUUGAGUACUGGAGAGGGAAGCGGAAUUCCUAGUGUAGCGGUGAAAUGCGUAGAUAUUAGGAGGAACACCAGUGGCGAAGGCGGCUUCCUGGACAGUAACUGACGCUGAGGCGCGAAAGCGUGGGUAGCGAACAGGAUUAGAUACCCCGGUAGUC
RNAcentral lists this ribosomal RNA (443 nucleotides) under uncultured Clostridium sp. RNAcentral describes it as "bacterial SSU rRNA". It matches the Rfam family "Bacterial small subunit ribosomal RNA", at positions 338 to 795 of the family's 1533-position model. Lineage: Bacteria; Bacillati; Bacillota; Clostridia; Eubacteriales; Clostridiaceae. The record is from RNAcentral.